RNAcentral lists this ribosomal RNA (517 nucleotides) under uncultured Gammaproteobacteria bacterium. Its description in RNAcentral is "bacterial SSU rRNA". It matches the Rfam family "Bacterial small subunit ribosomal RNA", at positions 1 to 519 of the family's 1533-position model. The record is from RNAcentral. Lineage: Bacteria; Pseudomonadati; Pseudomonadota; Gammaproteobacteria.
UAGAGUUUGAUUCUGGCUCAGAUUGAACGCUGGCGGCAGGCCUAACACAUGCAAGUCGAGCGGUAGAGAGAAGCUUGCUUCUCUUGAGAGCGGCGGACGGGUGAGUAAUGCCUAGGAAUCUGCCUGGUAGUGGGGGAUAACGUUCGGAAACGGACGCUAAUACCGCAUACGUCCUACGGGAGAAAGCAGGGGACCUUCGGGCCUUGCGCUAUCAGAUGAGCCUAGGUCGGAUUAGCUAGUUGGUGAGGUAAUGGCUCACCAAGGCGACGAUCCGUAACUGGUCUGAGAGGAUGAUCAGUCACACUGGAACUGAGACACGGUCCAGACUCCUACGGGAGGCAGCAGUGGGGAAUAUUGGACAAUGGGCGAAAGCCUGAUCCAGCCAUGCCGCGUGUGUGAAGAAGGUCUUCGGAUUGUAAAGCACUUUAAGUUGGGAGGAAGGGCAGUAAAUUAAUACUUUGCUGUUUUGACGUUACCGACAGAAUAAGCACCGGCUAACUCUGUGCCAGCAGCCGCG